This 892-nucleotide long non-coding RNA is filed under the name Pan paniscus (pygmy chimpanzee). Its description in RNAcentral is "lncRNA (ENSPPAG00000045479.1)". Lineage: Eukaryota; Metazoa; Chordata; Mammalia; Primates; Hominidae. The record is from RNAcentral.
CAGAGAUACUUGGAAUCCAUGUUGAUUAUGUAAAUUGCUUAUGAAUGCCUCGACAGAGUUUGUGGGCAAGCAAUCUUUUCUCAUGAAAAGGAAGGUUUUAUAGUUUUGCGCUUUCUUUUUUCCUAGAACUACCUACAGAGUCAACUGGGAACAGAGCCACACCCUUUUUCUCCCCCAAACACAAAACCUUUGAUUCUUUUCAGAAUAAAAUUUGGCAAAGCAAAGAGUGAAAAAUCUUGAGAAAAGCACAGCCAAUCUAGUUUAAGUGCAAAUAGAAUCAAAAGUUCCUGAUAUAGAAUAAGCAAAUGAUGGAAGAAGCCAAGUUUCCUGAGUGGCCACUAGGAAAACUCUGUCUUCUUUAUCAAAACUAUGAGAUAAGAAAACUGAGACAGAGGGAGGUUAAGAGUGAGGCCAUACAAUGCCAUCGCCAUCAAGCUACCAACGACUUUCUUCACAGAAUUGGAAAAAACUACUUUAAAGUUCAUAUGGAAACAAAAAACAGCCCUCAUUGCCAAGACAAUCCUAAGCAAAAAGAACAAAGCUAGAGGCAUCACACUACCUGACUUCAUACUAUACUACAAGUCUACAGUAACCAAAACAGCAUGGUACUGGUACCAAAACAGGUAUAUAGACCACUAGAACAGAACAGAGGCCUCAGAAAUAACACCACACAUCUACAACCGUCUGAUCUUUGACAAACCUGACAAAAACAAGAAAUGGGGAAAAGAUCCCCUAUUUAAUAAAUGGUGCUGGGAAAACUGGCUAGCCAUAUGUAGAAAACUGAAAUUGGAUCCCUUCCUUACACCUUAUUCAAAAGCUAAUUCGAGAUGGAAUAAAGACUUAAAUGUUUGACCUAAAAUUGUAAAAAACCCUAGAAGAAAACCUAGCCAAU